AAUCCCCAGGUACGCGGAAGUGACGUCAUGUCUUCGAGCGUAGGCCUACCUGAGCAGCCGGAAGCCCCGUGCUCUCUGUCAGCUGUUGUGUUACUUUCCAUCGGCGUCGUUGAAAGCAGAAUGCAGAAAGAGCAAGGGAGUCAGAAGUGAUGGAUAGUAGUACGCGUGUAGGCAGGCAGGCAGGCAGGCAGGCAGGCAGGGUGCCUUCAGGAGCACCUCUCUCCCCCACUCUCCCCCCCUCCUCCUGCGUCAGCCGCUACAGUAGCCUCCAUUCAUUCAUCGGGAGACCAUCUGGAGGGGAAGGACGCCAGCUCUCCGUGCCUGGGGAGGGAGCACGCGACGUCGCUGUGGCAGGACGAACGUAGGGAGGAAGAACGGGGCGCCUUUGGCAUUCUGUCUGCCGAGCUUAUCACACACGGGUGGAAUUGGACACGGCUCCGUCUGCGAGCCCGUGCAUUUUAGAAGAGUUACCCCGGGAAGAAAAUGGGACUGGAUAUGAGGGAUGGGAGAAAACGGGAACGAGUUUUCGAGCAUAGACAAUAAUAUUGUAGAGACAUUUUUUGAUGUCUGGUUCAAGGACGAGAAACGGGACAACUAUGAAUAUACAAAAAAAAGGAAAUAAACUCGGAAUAGAUCAUGUUUUUGGACGAGAACAAGGAGUGAUGAAGACCGUGAUUUUCUUAUUUUUAUCAAAGAAUUGUUAUAUUAAUUCUAGUGUGUAAAUAUUCUCAACAUAAGAUUUGCUUGUGGCAAUGUUUGUUAGGAUGGUUAGUUUUAAUGGUUAUUGAAACUGUUUCAGAAUUUGUUUUACUUUCCCUCAUUUCAUACCAUAGACACAACGGAAAUUAUAGCGUACAGUGAUUAUAUAUAAAUAAAACAGUUUACAUGUUAUAUUUCGAAUAAUUCGUUUUCUUUUUGCUGGAACGUGAUAGCUUUCCUUUGCGAAGUAAAACAGCCACAGAUUUGAUGUGUUGCCCGAGUUGCCGAUGCGUAAACAGGCAAAAAUAUGACACUGAAUCUUUUUAAUGUAUUGUACAUAUCUAGCGACAGAGUGUAAACCUGGCGAUUCUUUUCCGGAAAAAAAUAUAUGAUCCUUUUUUUUAAAUACUGUAGGUAACGUUUCAAAUAGGUGCUAUUGUUUAUUUUGUAUGCAGUGAGAGGGAACUUGAAUGAACCAACCCGUUAAAGUUAACGUAAAACUGCUACAGGUGAUUCUGUCUUUUAUAUAAUGUCUACUGAAUUGUAUUUAUAUAUUCCACUUGUAUUAUGGUUACACGAUUGUCAUUAUGCAAUGAUCUACUAAUUGGCUUUCACACACCAGAUCCACCCUCCGUCCAUCUUUUCGCAUUGACAGCGCAUUUUUCUCCAGGUUAUUGCACUUGUCAUUGUUGGAACCAUGACGUCAUAGAUAUGAUCAGUUGUGACGUCACCUUUAAUAGUGACGUCACCUUCUUGCAGCGCUGCCAGAUGUAAGCAUGGACAGAGGUGUGUGAUAUCCUUCAUUCUGAAAGAAGAUUUAUAUUAUUGUAUUAAGCUUUUUUGAACGCACCUCGAGGGUCUAUAGGUUUCCAGACGCUCUCCAUUGUUAACGAGAAAAAAUAAAUAUAUAAAUAUACAUAUAAAUAUAUAUAUAUAUAUAUACAUAUACUUGUGAAAAUGAUAAGAGGUUGCGUACUGAUGCAUGAGCCGUGACUGGUAGAGUGUAUGCCAUAGAUAUAAUUGCCGCAGUUGAGAAUAUAUUCCAAUUUCUCCCUCCAGUUUCAUGAUAUAACCAUUAUACUGAGAUUCGACGCAGUUAAAAGUCGUGUUAAAGUCA
Penaeus vannamei (Pacific white shrimp) is the source of this 1816-nucleotide non-coding RNA. The record is from RefSeq and is a predicted model, not a curated record. NCBI's taxonomy places the organism in Eukaryota, Metazoa, Arthropoda, Malacostraca, Decapoda, Penaeidae.